This 475-nucleotide ribosomal RNA is filed under the name uncultured bacterium. RNAcentral describes it as "partial 16S ribosomal RNA". It matches the Rfam family "Bacterial small subunit ribosomal RNA", at positions 28 to 507 of the family's 1533-position model. The record is from RNAcentral.
GAUGAACGCUAGCGGCAGGCCUAACACAUGCAAGUCGAGGGAGAAGCCUUUCGGGGCAGAAACCGGCGCACGGGUGCGUAACGCGUAUGCAACCUACCUUUCACAGGGGGAUAGCCCGAAGAAAUUUGGAUUAAUACCCCAUAAUAUUGUUGGAUGGCAUCAUCUGAUAAUUAAAACUGCGGUGGUGAAAGAUGGGCAUGCGUCCUAUUAGCUAGUUGGAGUGGUAACGGCACCCCAAGGCUACGAUAGGUAGGGUCCUGAGAGGGAGAUCCCCCACACUGGUACUGAGACAGGGACCAGACUCCUACGGGAGGCAGCAGUGAGGAAUAUUGGUAAAUGGUCGGAAGACUGAACCAGCCAUGCCGCGUGCAGGAAGAAUGCCUUAUGGGUUGUAAACUGCUUUUAUAUGGGAAGAAUAAGGUGUACGUGUACAUUGAUGACGGUACCAUAUGAAUAAGCAUCGGCUAACUCCGUG